This 77-nucleotide transfer RNA is filed under the name Rickettsiales bacterium. RNAcentral's name for it is "tRNA-Arg". It matches the Rfam family "tRNA". Rfam says of the family: Transfer RNA (tRNA) molecules are approximately 80 nucleotides in length. Their secondary structure includes four short double-helical elements and three loops (D, anti-codon, and T loops). The record is from RNAcentral. Lineage: Bacteria; Pseudomonadati; Pseudomonadota; Alphaproteobacteria; Rickettsiales.
GUCCCCGUAGCUCAGCCGGAUAGAGCAACAGAUUCCUAAUCUGUAGGUCGGAGGUUCGAAUCCUCUCGGGGACGCCA